This 467-nucleotide ribosomal RNA is filed under the name uncultured bacterium. Its description in RNAcentral is "bacterial SSU rRNA". It matches the Rfam family "Bacterial small subunit ribosomal RNA", at positions 329 to 793 of the family's 1533-position model. The record is from RNAcentral.
CGCCAGACUCCUACGGGAGGCAGCAGUGAGGAAUAUUGGUCAAUGGGCGAGAGCCUGAACCAGCCAAGUCGCGUGAGGGAAGACUGCCCUAUGGGUUGUAAACCUCUUUUGUCAGGGAGCAACGCCGGCUACGUGCAGCCGGACUGAGAGUACCUGAAGAAAAAGCAUCGGCUAACUCCGUGCCAGCAGCCGCGGUAAUACGGAGGAUGCGAGCGUUAUCCGGAUUUAUUGGGUUUAAAGGGUGCGUAGGCGGAAUGCCAAGUAAGGGGUAAAAUCGCGGGGCUCAACCUCGCUCCGCCGCUGAAACUGGCGUUCUUGAGUGGGCGAGAAGUAUGCGGAAUGCGUGGUGUAGCGGUGAAAUGCAUAGAUAUCACGCAGAACUCCGAUUGCGAAGGCAGCAUACCGGCGCCCAACUGACGCUGAAGCACGAAAGCGUGGGUAUCGAACAGGAUUAGAUACCCCGGUAA